GAUGAACGCUGGCGGCGUGCCUAAUACAUGCAAGUCGAGCGAACAGACGAGGAGCUUGCUCCUCUGACGUUAGCGGCGGACGGGUGAGUAACACGUGGAUAACCUACCUAUAAGACUGGGAUAACUUCGGGAAACCGGAGCUAAUACCGGAUAAUAUAUUGAACCGCAUGGUUCAAUAGUGAAAGACGGUUUUGCUGUCACUUAUAGAUGGAUCCGCGCCGCAUUAGCUAGUUGGUAAGGUAACGGCUUACCAAGGCGACGAUGCGUAGCCGACCUGAGAGGGUGAUCGGCCACACUGGAACUGAGACACGGUCCAGACUCCUACGGGAGGCAGCAGUAGGGAAUCUUCCGCAAUGGGCGAAAGCUUGACCGAGCAACGCCGCGUGAGUGAUGAAGGUCUUCGGAUCGUAAAACUCUGUUAUUAGGGAAGAACAAAUGUGUAAGUAACUAUGCACGUCUUGACGGUACCUAAUCAGAAAGCCACGGCUAACUACGUG
Molecule: ribosomal RNA, 497 nt
Filed under: uncultured bacterium
Lineage: Bacteria
Description: partial 16S ribosomal RNA
Rfam family: Bacterial small subunit ribosomal RNA
Source: RNAcentral